AACGAACGCUGGCGGCAGGCUUAACACAUGCAAGUCGAGCGCCCCGCAAGGGGAGCGGCAGACGGGUGAGUAACGCGUGGGAACGUACCUUUUGGUUCGGAACAACUCCGGGAAACUGGAGCUAAUACCGGAUAAGCCCUAACGGGGAAAGAUUUAUCGCCGAAAGAUCGGCCCGCGUCUGAUUAGCUAGUUGGUUAGGUAACGGCUCACCGAGGCGACGAUCAGUAGCUGGUCUGAGAGGAUGAUCAGCCACACUGGGACUGAGACACGGCCCAGACUCCUACGGGAGGCAGCAGUGGGGAAUAUUGGACAAUGGGCGCAAGCCUGAUCCAGCCAUGCCGCGUGAGUGAUGAAGGCCUUAGGGUUGUAAAGCUCUUUUGUCCGGGAAGAUAAUGACUGUACCGGAAGAAUAAGCCCCGGCUAACUUCGUG
RNAcentral lists this ribosomal RNA (431 nucleotides) under uncultured bacterium. Its description in RNAcentral is "partial 16S ribosomal RNA". It matches the Rfam family "Bacterial small subunit ribosomal RNA", at positions 29 to 507 of the family's 1533-position model. The record is from RNAcentral.